This 465-nucleotide ribosomal RNA is filed under the name uncultured bacterium. RNAcentral describes it as "partial 16S ribosomal RNA". It matches the Rfam family "Bacterial small subunit ribosomal RNA", at positions 338 to 795 of the family's 1533-position model. The record is from RNAcentral.
CCUACGGGAGGCAGCAGUAGGGAAUCUUCCACAAUGGGCGAAAGCCUGAUGGAGCAACGCCGCGUGGGUGAAGAAGGUCUUCGGAUCGUAAAACUCUGUUUUUAGAGAAGAAAGUGUGUGAGAGUAACUGUUCACGUCUUGACGGUAUCUAAUCAGAAAGCCACGGCUAACUACGUGCCAGCAGCCGCGGUCAUACGUAGGUGGCAAGCGUUAUCCGGAUUUAUUGGGCGUAAAGGGCACGCAGGCGGUCUUUUCAGUCUGUAGUGAAAGCCUUCGGCGUAACCGUGGUAGGGCAUUGGAAACUGGCAGACUUGAGUGCAGAAGAGGAGAGUGGAAUUCCAGGUGUAGCGGUGAAAUGCGUAGAUAGAUGGAAGAACACCAGUGGCGAAGGCGGCUUUCUGGUCUGUAACUGACGCUGAGGUGCGAAAGCGUGGGUAGCAAACAGGAUUAGAUACCCCUGUAGUC